AUUGAACGCUGGCGGCAUGCCUUACACAUGCAAGUCGAACGGCAGCACGGGAGCAAUCCUGGUGGCGAGUGGCGAACGGGUGAGUAAUAUAUCGGAACGUGCCCGGUCGUGGGGAUAACGUAGCGAAAGCUACGCUAAUACCGCAUACGAUCUACGGAUGAAAGCGGGGGAGUCGCAAGACCUCGCGCGAUUGGAGCGGCCGAUAUCAGAUUAGGUAGUUGGUGAGGUAAAGGCUCACCAAGCCGACGAUCUGUAGCUGGUCUGAGAGGACGACCAGCCACACUGGGACUGAGACACGGCCCAGACUCCUACGGGAGGCAGCAGUGGGGAAUUUUGGACAAUGGGCGCCGAAAGCCCUGAUCCAGCAAUGCCGCCGUGCAGGAUGAAGG
Molecule: ribosomal RNA, 389 nt
Filed under: uncultured bacterium
Lineage: Bacteria
Description: bacterial SSU rRNA
Rfam family: Bacterial small subunit ribosomal RNA
Source: RNAcentral